GCAAUGAUUCAUCCAUAGUAACAAACAAACAAAGCUUAUAUAUCUUGCAUAUUUGGAUUGCCGGUAAUUUCACGUAAUAUCAAUAACACUGUAAUUUGUAAUUUUGAUUAUGGUAGCAUAGGGUAAUUCUAUCCAACUCAGCACGAACAAUGUAAAUAUGCACAUAGCUGGUAGUAUUGCUUUUGAUUUUUCAGAGUCAAAGUCAAUAGUAACAUUAUUGACCUUAAUGAUUUAUCAAGCCCGCUCUACACUGCUAGUGCUUUGUGUGUUCAAACUUCCAACCUAGAAUCUCAAAUGUGAAUUGAAUGAACCCAACGCCCCCACUUAGUAAGACCCACUCCUACAACACCUAUAAAAAAAAACAUACACCAAUCAUCACAAGCAAAGCAAAACAGAAAAUGAGUGGAGGGAAGAAGAAAAACAUGGUUGUUUGGUUAUACAAAGUGAUAACAAUCACCGUUACAGUAGCAAGUGUGGCGUUAACACUAACAGAAGCUCAAAAGGAGGCAGAUUUCAAGUGCAGCUCAGAAAUCGCCACGUGUCGUAGUCUAACCGACUACAAAUCCCCUAACGUAACAACCCUGAAGGAAAUCGAAACCCUGUUCGGCGUGAAACACUUCCUUGACCUCCUAGGCGCUAACAACUUCCCAAGCAACACCAAAGACAACUUCAAAGUGGAAGCCGACCAAGUCGUUAAAGUUCCGUUUCCGUGUAAAUGCGGUAACGGAACAGGGACGUCGAACCAAAUUCCGCGUUACAAAGUAAAACCGGGUGACACGUUGGACGGAAUAGCGAGGAACCGUUUUGCGGGUUUGGUUAAGUAUCAACAGAUUCAAACCGCUAAUAAGAUCCCAGACGCUAAUAAUAUAACCGCUGGUGAAACGCUUUGGAUUCCUUUGCCGUGUAGCUGUGAUAAGGUGGAUGGGAGCAGUGUGAUACACUAUGCACACAUUGUGGAAGCAGAUAGUACUAUUCAAGCCAUUGCUCAACAAUACGGUACCAAUCAACAGACACUUCUGAAAAUCAACGGUAUUGAUGACCCCAAAUCCCUUCAAGCCGGUCAGCUUCUCGAUGUUCCCCUUCCAGUUUGUAACUCCAGUGUGACAAGUGAUUCAUUGGACUUCCCAUUGCUUGUACCAAAUGCUACUUAUGUCUACACUGCAAAUGAAUGUGUUCAAUGUAAAUGCGACUCUACUAGUAACAACAACUUUAUGUUACAGUGUGAGCCAUCUGAACUAAAACCCAUAAAUCGUUGGUCCGUUUGUCCGACAAUGGAAUGUUCGAAGAAUGUGUUAAUUGGUAACACUACAACAACAUCCACAGAUUCGUGUAAUAGCACGAUUUGUGAUUACGGUGGUUAUAACUCCCGCAAUAUCUCUAUGGUUAAUGCAACCCAAAACACAUGUGCUGGUUAGUUAGUUAGUUACAAACUGCCAAUUAUGUUUGUGGUUAUUAUUUUUUGACUGCUAAUGAUGUCUUUGAUUGUUUUCAGUGGCACCAAGCGGUUCAGAUUCGGGGGCAACUGGGAGCAGCUUGAGUGGCUCGGUUUGGAAUAAACUUCUUAUUCUCAUUCACUUUCUCCUCUUUUUUGUCUAUCUUUUGUAGUACAAUACCCUGCAUCCUUGUUCUAUUCCUUUUUAUGGAUUAGUAAUUUUCUUGUUCAGAUGGAUUGUUUCAGUGUUGUCAUUUGUGAGUAUUGACUCCACUAAACUUUUUUUAUGCUUUUUUUUGUUAUUUUUUAUACUAUUUGUAACAUAGCAUGUUUGGAAGAAUAAGAGUACUAUCUGAACUACAAGGAUGGCUAUCUUUUUUAAUA
This is a non-coding RNA of Cicer arietinum (chickpea), 1816 nucleotides long. NCBI's taxonomy places the organism in Eukaryota, Viridiplantae, Streptophyta, Magnoliopsida, Fabales, Fabaceae. The record is from RefSeq and is a predicted model, not a curated record.